CCCACUGUCCUGGAGUAGGGAUCAGUACCCAUCCUGAUGCCAAUCAGCUGGAAGUCAUUCCUUUUGAUGUUGGGGACAUCCGUGCUAUGAGUCGAUGGACAGAUAUCUUCAUAUUUCUUCCCAGUAAAAUUAUCAGUACCAACCAAAUGGACCUUGGCAUGGCCUUGCUUGCCAGUCUUCGAAGUAGACAUCUCGACGAUCUUACACGGCCGGCCCUUGAGCACCACAAAACCAUUCUUACAUAAUGCUGAGCACUGCAUUGGGAAGGUGGCGGAGGCCCCUGCAUCUCCUGUCUCGAAGUCCAAAUCAUCUGCCAUUUUAAGAGGCUUCGAUUCCAGCUCGGGCGAACGCAC
This 353-nucleotide long non-coding RNA is filed under the name Rattus norvegicus (Norway rat). Its description in RNAcentral is "long non-coding RNA NONRATT005229". The record is from RNAcentral. Lineage: Eukaryota; Metazoa; Chordata; Mammalia; Rodentia; Muridae.